UGCAACCCCUCCUUUGUGAAUUCAUAAAUCUGAUGCAAAUGUUCUACAUUACUUCCCAACCUUGUGAGACAAUGCUACAGAAUGCAUUGGCCUGUCAAUUUUUGCUUCCAAGUUACUAUUGAUUUCUUAAACACCUUUAGAUUCCUGUGUUUUCAGAUUUUGUACUAUCCCUUGAGCAUCAAGAGUUCCAGUGUAGGUGAGACUGAAGAACAAUGCACCACCAUUUAACUGUGUGAUCAAAGUAGUUAUCUACCUGACCUAAUUGUAGACAUAGAUAUUCUCAUCUUUUUCUGACUAAAACCCCCAUAUUAGGACCAAUUUAAUGAAAUUUAUUCAAAGUACAAGGCUCAGUUUCUUGAUGAUUUAAGUAACUAAAAUAAUUUGGUUGUUGUUGCGCAAACAGAGAGCAAACCAUACACAUACGCACACUUUGAAUCACUGAAAAACCUUUAGACCAUUCAACAGAGUCGAAAUCAGAAAGACAAAAAUACACAGCAGACAAACACAAAUAUAAAAUGAUGGAAAGCAAAAUAACACAAGAGAUUUACCGUGAUUCACCCAAAAGGGCUACGUCCACAUUGAGCUCCAGCAAAGGAGAGCUCAUUGCACUAUCGGAGAAAAAUAGGGUUUACAAUACUUACAGCAUAUAAGCCUCACAACCACUCUAUGUACACAAACUGGUUCUUUUAACAAAAUCCGCCUCAAAAUUAUAUACAAGAGGAAGAUCAGAGGCUUACCCUAUUGAACCAGAGAGAAGACCGAAAAGGAGCCAGAGAGUCUGAAAACAACAAAAUGAGAGAGAACCCUUGAGCCCCUAAGCAUCUACUCACCCUCUCUCUCAAUCUCUGAUUAAUUACACAUCCCGAUGCACAAUAAAAAAUAGGGGUCGCACGAUGCAAUUGAAAGGCUUGGAUUGCACCAGAUAAAAGGCGACAUCAACGGUCUAGAUUGCGCACAAAGACAAGACAAUUUGCACGAUCGAGUGAAAGGAUGCCCGGACGGUUGCCAAGCUGCCCUCCGCUGCCACGUGGCAAUGGUUGCUGCUGACCCUCCUGUUUGGGUCUUUAAAUGUUAAAUGGCAACAAUCACCUUGAAGCAGCCAACAAUCACCACCUUGAAGCAACAACGAUUCAAUAGGACAUAUCCCAAUUAGUGCAACAAACUUCUAUCCUCACCUUCAUUGCUCAAGUUGGUUUGGAUUAACCAACUUCGACAUGCAGUAAGCCCAAGCAGUGUUUAAACUUAGUUGCAGUCACUACCUUUGUCCCAAUAUCAGCUGGGUUAUCCUCUGUAGACACUUUGAGGAUUACAACAGUUCCAUCACUUACUAGAUUUCUUACAAAAUGAUACUUUACAUCAAUAUGUUUAGUUCUUUCAUGAUAAACAGGAUUCUUACAUAAAUGAAUAGCACUCUGGCUAUCAGAAAAUAUCUUGAACCUUAUAAAAGAUUAAUUUCCUGCAAGAGACCUUGAAGCCAGAUAGCUUUCCUGAAAGCAUCAGUAACAACCACAUACUCUGCUUCAGUGGAAGACAGAGCAACCAAAGGCUACAAUUGUGACUUCCAGCUAAAGCAAUUGCCACCUAAGGUGAAGAAAUAUGUUGUGGUGGACUUACAGGAGUCUCUAUCCCCUACAAAAUCUGAGUCUACAUAUCCCACCAAGUCAAGAGUAUCACUUAUUCUCUCAAAGUUUAAACCAACAUUUAGAGAACCAUUAAUAUAUCUUAGCACAUAUUUUAAGGCUUCAUAGUGACUUUUUCCAGGGUUAGACAUAAACCUACUAAGUAAGGAUAUUGAAUAUGCUAGUUCUGGCCUAGUGCUUAUCAUGGAAUACAUUAUGGUCCCAAUUACGUUGGCAUAUGGUAUGUUUUCCAUUUUAAGAGUUUUUGAUUCAGAUGAUGGACACUGUGUUUUAGACAAGAUAAAAUGUCCAGCUAAGGGAACAUUAACAGUUUUACACUCAGCCAUACCAAUUUUUGAACAGUUUUAAGUAGGUAAUCAUGCUGGUGAAUUUUUAGUUUGUUUUUACUUCUAUUUCUUUCUACUAUCAUCCCUAAGAUUUUCUUAGCUGGUCCUAAGUCUUUCAUAUCGACAUUAGUAUUUAACAUAGACUUUAAUUCACAUAUUUUUGACUUGGACUUGCUAAUGAUCAAGAUAUCAUCAACAUACAAUAAGAGAUAAACAAGGAUAUUAGAUAGUAUAUAGUAAAAAGCAGCUAUCAUAUUUACUUCGAUUAAAACCAAUCUCAGCAGCAAAAUUAUCAAUUUUUUAUACCAUUGCCUAGGAGAUUGUUUUAAUCCAUACAAUAAUUUUUUAAGUAAACAGACAUGAUCAGGAUAAUUAAUGUCAAUGUAUCCAACAGGUUGUUCCAUGUAAAUUCUUUCAUCAAUGUCUCCAUGUAAAAAUGCAGUUUUGACAUCCAUUUGUUCAAAUUCUAAGUCAAAUUGUACUACAACAGCAAACAUCAUACGUAUGGUUUUGAAUUUAACUACUGGAGAAAAGAUUUCAGUAUAGUCUAUUCCUUCUUUUUGAGAAAACCCUUUAGCUACAAGUCUUGCUUUAAAUCUUAGUGGUCAAAUGGUGACAUUCCUUCUUUAAGUUUGAACAACCAUUUACAUUUAAUUAGCUUCUGCUUAUCAGGCCUUGGAACCAGUUUCCAAGCCUCAUUAACCUUUAAAGAGGUCAUUUCAUUAUCCAUUGCCUGUUUUCACUUAGUGCUGUCAUGGGAGCUGACAGCCUCCUCAUAACAGGUAGGCUCACUGCUUCUCAUCUCCAUUCUAGAAACUAAGGCACAAAACACCAUGUCUGAGUAUGCAUAUCUAACAGGAGGUCUGAUAGACCUCCUCACUCGGUCUCGGGUGAGUUGAUAAUUGUUGAGGUCUUUUUGAGGAGAGUCAUACUCCUCAACCUCAGGGUCAUCAGGUUGAACCACAUGAUCACUGUCCUAAUCAGAGGUUUCUUCUUGGGUUAAGGGUUCAUCAAAGGUGUGGGGAUAAUGUGAGGUUGAGGUGACAGGAGGAUCCUGUUACUCCAUCUCAAUUUGAGUACUGCCACCUCUUACAAAUUCACUAGGGCUGCUAGGUCUUGGGUUAUCUUGAUUGUCGUCAGUUUUGCAUGGGAAGAUUAGCUCAUUAAAUUUUACAUCUUUGCUAAUAAUGAUUUUAACUCCACCUGAAAUUCUAUCUCAUAGCCUAUAACCCUUGGUUCCCUCUUGAUAUCCAACAAAAACACAUUUAAUGGCCCUGGGAUCUAAUUUUCUUUCUGAGUGAUGGGCAUACGCCUCACAACCAAACACUCCUAGAUAGUCUAAGUUAAGUUUUCUCCCAGUCCAUUUCUCUUCAGGACACUUAAAAUUGAUUGCAGUAAAAGGGCUCCUAUUUACUAGGUGGGCUGUUGUGGAUAGGGCUUAUCCCCAAAAUGUUUUAGGCAUUCCAACAGUAAACAAAAGGCAUAUAACCUUUUCUAAUAGGGUUAUGUUCAUCCUCUCAGCAAUUCCAUUUUGCUGAGGGGUGUUUCUUACUGUCCUAUGCCUAAGAAUACCAUGGGUUUUACAUAAUUCAUCAAAAUCCCUAUUACAGAACUCCAAUCCAUUAUCAGUUCUUAGAGUUUUGAUCUUCCUAUCAGUUUGAUUUUCAACCAAAGUUUUCCAUGAUCUAAAUUUUUCUAGAGUUUGAUCCUUAGAUUUCAUUAAAAAUAUUCAUACCCUUCUAGAAAAUCAUCAAUUAUGGACAAAAAAUACAUGUUACCGCCGUGUGAGGGAACUUAGGAGGGACCCCAAAAGUCUUGCAUGCAAAUACUUUAGGCAUGCCUUCGCCAGGUGAGUUCUCUUUGGGAAACUCAGCCUGUGUUGCUUGCCUAAGGUAUAUGGCUCACAGAAGCCUAAGGCAUCUGCAGACACUGGACCAAGGUACCCUUGGUUGGACAGUGCCUGAAGCUUAAGGCAUCUCAAGUGCCACAGAUCUGUUCUAUCAGAUUUAACUAUGCAUGCAAAUGGGAUAUGACAAUAACCAUUCAACACAUAUAAACCAUGUUUCUUUGUACCAGAGAGAAUAAGGUCAUCAUUCUUAAACACAUGUAGAUAACCAUUUUCAGCUUUAUAGGAAAACCCUAGUUCAUCUAAGGUGCCAAGAGAAAUCAGAUUUCGUUUUAAUCAGGUACAUAUCUCACAUCAGUCAACAUUCUAAUCUUGUUAUCAUGUAAUUUCAGAGAGAUGUCACCUAUACCUUUAAUUUGCAUGAAUGAUUAUGUCUCAUAAAAACAGUACCAGUUUCUUUAGUGCUAAAGUUUUGAAACCAAUCUAUAUUUGGACACAUGUGAAAAGAGCAUCCGAAUCCAUAAUCCAUUCAUUUACAAUAGAUGUACAAGAGAUAUUUAACACUUCAGCUAGAGAGUUUGAGUUACUGGUAGCUACUGUCACAUUCCCACCCUGUUUCUGUUUUUUAAUAAAAUCAUAGUAGUAUUUUUUGAUAUGGCCCUCUUUUCCACAGUGGUAGCAUUCAACACAUAUAAACCAUGUUUCUUUGUACCAGAGAGAAUAAGGUCAUCAUUCUUAAACACAUGCAGAGAACCAUUUUCAGCUUUAUAGGAAAACCCUAGUUCAUCUUAGGUGCCAAGAGAAAUCAGAUUUCGUUUUAAUCCAGGUCUUGUUAUAACGUGCUUGGCAGACAUGUGAUAAAAAAUGUUCAGCAGGGGGCUGCAACUACAUGCUAUGUAGCAUUGCAUCCGGAGAUCAAAGGGAUGACUGGCAAAUAUUUUGCAGACUGUAACUUAGCUGAAGCAAGCUCGCAAGCUAAUGAUACUGAACUGGCAAAAAAACUGUGGGAUUUCAGCUUGAGAAUGUUCAACCAACGUACCCAUAAGUCAUAGGAGUUUCCAUUUUUCAGAUUUACAGGCCUUCUGAUUUGAUUCCCAAAAACCAAAUAUGGUUUUUUCUCUCUUUUUAAGAAAUACACCUGGGCUAAUUGUUCGUUGCUAGCCUGAAGAAUUUCUUCCCUGUUUAGGCAACCCUUUGGCUUGUCGAUCGGAUCCGGUUUUGCUGUAAACAUCUACGUGGGAUUUGCAGCACAUUGUACAACAAAACAAAAACAAAAUCCACUGCCUGAGCAGAAAAAUGGAUCUUACUGAAUUUGAAUUCUUUGAUUCCAUA
This is a long non-coding RNA of Diospyros lotus (date-plum), 5144 nucleotides long. RefSeq lists it as uncharacterized. Lineage: Eukaryota; Viridiplantae; Streptophyta; Magnoliopsida; Ericales; Ebenaceae. The record is from RefSeq and is a predicted model, not a curated record. The transcript has 3 exons.